AAAUUUUACAUUCAAUAAGCGAGGAAAAGAAACCAACAGGGAUUGCCCCAGUAACGGCGAGUGAAGCGGCAGGAGCUCAAAUUUGAAAUCUGGGGUCCCCGACCUCCGAGUUGUAAUUUGGAGAGGCAUCUUCGGGGGGGAGCGCCGGCCCAUGUUCCUUGGAACAGGACGUCACAGAGGGUGAGAAUCCCGUGCCAGGCCGGCUCCCUCCUCCCGGGUGAAGCGCCUUCGACGAGUCGAGUUGUUUGGGAAUGCAGCUCCAAGUGGGUGGUAAGUUUCAUCUAAAGCUAAAUACCGGCGGGAGACCGAUAGCGCACAAGUAGAGUGAUCGAAAGAUGAAAAGCACUUUGAAAAUAGAGUCAAAAAGUACGUGAAAUUGUUGAAAGGGAAGCGCUUGAGACCAGACUCAGGCCCGGGCAAACACCGCGCCCCCAGGGGCCGUGCAAUUGCCUGGGGCUGGGCCAGCAUCAGUCGGCGUGGCGGGACAAAGGCGCGGGGAAUGUGGCUCCCCUCGGGGAGUGUUACCAGCCCCGCGCUCAAUGCCGCCGACGCCGACUGAGGACCGCGCCUCGGCUAGGAUGCUGGCUUAAUGGCCUUCAGCGACCCGUCUUGAAACACGGACCAAGGAGUCUAACAUCUAUGCGAGUGUUUGGGUGCCAAACCCUUGCGCGGAAUGAAAGUGAGCGGAGGUGGGAACCCCCCAGCGGGGCGCACCAUCGACCGAUCCUGAUGUCUUCGGAUGGAUUUGAGUAGGAGCAUAGCUGUUGGGACCCGAAAGAUGGUGAACUAUGCCUGAAUAGGGUGAAGCCAGAGGAAACUCUGGUGGAGGCUCGCAGCGGUUCUGACGUGCAAAUCGAUCGUCAAAUUUGGGUAUAGGGGCGAAAGACUAAUG
RNAcentral lists this ribosomal RNA (892 nucleotides) under Helvella elastica. RNAcentral's name for it is "LSU rRNA". It matches the Rfam family "Eukaryotic large subunit ribosomal RNA", at positions 30 to 936 of the family's 3401-position model. The record is from RNAcentral. Lineage: Eukaryota; Fungi; Ascomycota; Pezizomycetes; Pezizales; Helvellaceae.